This 172-nucleotide ribosomal RNA is filed under the name uncultured bacterium. RNAcentral describes it as "partial 16S ribosomal RNA". It matches the Rfam family "Bacterial small subunit ribosomal RNA", at positions 337 to 524 of the family's 1533-position model. The record is from RNAcentral.
UCCUACGGGAGGCAGCAGUGGGGAAUUUUCCGCAAUGGGCGAAAGCCUGACGGAGCAACGCCGCGUGCGGGAGGAAGGUUUUAGGACUGUAAACCGCUUUUCUCAGGGAAGAAGUACUGACGGUACCUGAGGAAUAAGCAUCGGCUAAUUCCGUGCCAGCAGCCGCGGUAAU